UAAGUAGCGAAGUAGCUGAUUUCACACUGUCGAGAAAAGUUUCUAUCGAGAUUAAAGGUGCCCGUACCGCAAACCGACACAGGUGGGUGAGGAGAGUAUCCUAAGGCCAGCGAGAGAACUGUUGUUAAGGAACUCGGCAAAAUGACCCCGUAACUUAGGGAGAAGGGGUGCCACGUUAGGGUUAACGCCCGAGGUGGCCGCAGAGAAUAGGCCCAAGCGACUGUUUACCAAAAACACAGGUUUCUGCUAAGUCGCAAGACGAUGUAUAGGAGCUGACGCCUGCCCGGUGCUGGAAGGUUAAGGGGAUCUGUUAGGAUUUAUCCGAAGCAGUGAACUUAAGCCCCAGUAAACGGCGGCCGUAACUAUAACGGUCCUAAGGUAGCGAAAUUCCUUGUCGGGUAAGUUCCGACCCGCACGAAAGGCGUAACGAUUUGGGCACUGUCUCAACAACAGACUCGGUGAAAUUGUAAUCCCGGUGAAGAUGCCGGGUACCUGCGACAGGACGGAAAGACCCCAUGGAGCUUUACUGUAGCUUGACAUUGAAUUUUGGUGCUACAUGUACAGGAUAGGUGGGAGGCUAUGAAGUCGGGACGCCAGUCUCGGCGGAGCCAUCCUUGGGAUACCACCCUUGUAGUACUGAGAUUCUAACCAGAUACCUUGAAUCAGGUAUUGGGACACUGUCAGGUGGGCAGUUUGACUGGGGCGGUCGCCUCCCAAAGAGUAACGGAGGCGCUCAAAGGUUCUCUCAGCACGGUCGGAAAUCGUGCGUAGAGUGUAAAGGCAGAAGAGAGCUUGAUUGCAAGACAUACAGGUCGAGCAAGGACGAAAGUCGGACUUAGUGAUCCGGUGGUUCCGCAUGGAAGGGCCAUCGCUCAACGGAUAAAAGCUACCCUGGGGAUAACAGGCUUAUCUCCCCCAAGAGUCCACAUCGACGGGGAGGUUUGGCACCUCGAUGUCGGCUCAUCACAUCCUGGGGCUGUAGUAGGUCCCAAGGGUUGGGCUGUUCGCCCAUUAAAGUGGUACGCGAGCUGGGUUCAGAACGUCGUGAGACAGUUCGGUCCCUAUCCGUCGCAGGCGUAGGAAAUUUGAGGAGACCUGUCCUUAGUACGAGAGGACCGGGAUGGACGUACCUCUGGUGUACCAGUUGUUCUGCCAAGGGCAUGGCUGGGUAGCUAUGUACGGAAUGGAUAAGCGCUGAAAGCAUCUAAGCGCGAAGCCAACUUCAAGAUAAGAUUUCCCACCGUAAGGGUAAGAUCCCAGGAAGACUACCUGGUUGAUAGGUCAAAGGUGUAAGUGCAGCAAUGUAUGUAGCUUAUUGAUACUAAUAGAUCG
RNAcentral lists this ribosomal RNA (1332 nucleotides) under Vibrio cholerae. RNAcentral describes it as "partial 23S ribosomal RNA". It matches the Rfam family "Bacterial large subunit ribosomal RNA", at positions 1579 to 2911 of the family's 2925-position model. Lineage: Bacteria; Pseudomonadati; Pseudomonadota; Gammaproteobacteria; Vibrionales; Vibrionaceae. The record is from RNAcentral.